GAUGAAGAACGCAGCGAAAUGCGAUAAGUAAUGCGAAUUGCAGAAUUUCCGUGAGUCAUCGAAUCUUUGAACGCACAUUGCACCCACUGGUAUUCCGGUGGGCAUGCCUGUUCGAGCGUCAUUAUCCUCCCUCAAACCCCGGGUUUGGUGUUGGACCCAAGUUGUGUGAACAACUGGUCUCAAAGACAAUGACGGCGUCCGUGGGACCCUCGGUGCAACGAGCUUUUAGGAGCACGCAUCGAGUUGCAAGGACCUUCCGGGCCGGUCUCCUUUACCAUUUUACAAGGUUGACCUCGGAUCAGGUAGGAAUACCCGCUGAACUUAAGCAUAUCAAUAAGCGGAGGA
Molecule: unclassified non-coding RNA, 345 nt
Filed under: soil metagenome
Description: partial contains 5.8S ribosomal RNA, internal transcribed spacer 2, and large subunit ribosomal RNA
Rfam family: 5.8S ribosomal RNA (bases 1-121)
Source: RNAcentral